This 373-nucleotide ribosomal RNA is filed under the name uncultured Bacteroidota bacterium. RNAcentral describes it as "bacterial SSU rRNA". It matches the Rfam family "Bacterial small subunit ribosomal RNA", at positions 521 to 896 of the family's 1533-position model. The record is from RNAcentral. Lineage: Bacteria; Pseudomonadati; Bacteroidota.
UAAUACGGAGGGUGCAAGCGUUAUCCGGAUUCAUUGGGUUUAAAGGGUGCGCAGGUGGGCUUGUAAGUCAGUGGUGAAAUACUGCCGCUUAACGGUAGAACUGCCAUUGAUACUGCGAGUCUUGAAUAUGGUUGAGGUAGGCGGAAUGUGUUGUGUAGCGGUGAAAUGCAUAGAUAUGACACAGAACGCCGAUUGCGAAGGCAGCUUACUAAGCCAUUAUUGACGCUGAGGCACGAAAGCGUGGGUAGCGAACAGGAUUAGAUACCCUGGUAGUCCACGCCGUAAACGAUGUUCACUCGCUGUCUGCGAUACACAGUAGGCGGCUUAGCGAAAGCAUUAAGUGAACCACCUGGGGAGUACGAUCGCAAGGUUG